This 140-nucleotide small nucleolar RNA is filed under the name Microcebus murinus (gray mouse lemur). RNAcentral describes it as "Small Cajal body specific RNA 11 (ENSMICG00000024730.3)". It matches the Rfam family "Small Cajal body specific RNA 11". Rfam says of the family: scaRNAs are a specific class of small nuclear RNAs which localise to the Cajal bodies and guide the modification of RNA polymerase II transcribed spliceosomal RNAs U1, U2, U4, U5 and U12. Lineage: Eukaryota; Metazoa; Chordata; Mammalia; Primates; Cheirogaleidae. The record is from Rfam by way of RNAcentral.
UUGUCCUGGCCUAUGCUUUUUAUGCUCUGAUGUGCUCAGUUCUAACAGGGUGGACUGGCAGCACACACAGCAAUCUCCUUCUCAGUUUAGGAGGGCAGUCCUAAGAAUAGGACUGGCUCUUAAAGGCAUGAGUGGACAAU